GGGUGCGAGCGUUGUCCGGAAUUACUGGGCGUAAAGAGCUCGUAGGUGGUUUGUCGCGUUGUUCGUGAAAUCUCACGGCUUAACUGUGAGCGUGCGGGCGAUACGGGCAGACUUGAGUACUGCAGGGGAGACUGGAAUUCCUGGUGUAGCGGUGGAAUGCGCAGAUAUCAGGAGGAACACCGGUGGCGAAGGCGGGUCUCUGGGCAGUAACUGACGCUGAGGAGCGAAAGCGUGGGGAGCGAACAGGAUUAGAUACCCUGGUAGUCCACGCCGUAAACGGUGGGUACUAGGUGUGGGUUUCCUUCCUUGGGAUCCGUGCCGUAGCUAACGCAUUAAGUACCCCGCCUGGGGAGUACGGCCGCAAGGCUAAAACUCAAGAGAAAUUGACGGGGGCCCGCACAAGCGGCGGAGCAUGUGGAUUAAUUCGAUGCAACGCGAAGAACCUUACCUGGGUUUGACAUGCACAGGACGCCGGCAGAGAUGUCGGUUCCCUUGUGGCCUGUGUGGCAGGUGGUGCAUGGCUGUCGUCAGCUCGUGUCGUGAGAUGUUGGGUUAAGUCCCGCAACGAGCGCAACCCUUGUCUCAUGUUGCCAGCGGGUAAUGCCGGGGACUCGUGAGAGACUGCCGGGGUCAACUCGGAGGAAGGUGGGGAUGACGUCAAGUCAUCAUGCCCCUUAUGUCCAGGGCUUCACACAUGCUACAAUGGCCGGUACAAAGGGCUGCGAUGCCGCGAGGUUAAGCGAAUCCUUUUAAAGCCGGUCUCAGUUCGGAUCGGGGUCUGCAACUCGACCCCGUGAAGUCGGAGUCGCUAGUAAUCGCAGA
RNAcentral lists this ribosomal RNA (822 nucleotides) under uncultured Mycobacterium sp. RNAcentral describes it as "bacterial SSU rRNA". It matches the Rfam family "Bacterial small subunit ribosomal RNA", at positions 530 to 1348 of the family's 1533-position model. Lineage: Bacteria; Bacillati; Actinomycetota; Actinomycetes; Mycobacteriales; Mycobacteriaceae. The record is from RNAcentral.